This is a long non-coding RNA of Dermochelys coriacea (leatherback sea turtle), 324 nucleotides long. RefSeq lists it as uncharacterized. NCBI's taxonomy places the organism in Eukaryota, Metazoa, Chordata, Testudines, Dermochelyidae. The record is from RefSeq and is a predicted model, not a curated record. The transcript has 3 exons.
UCCCUACUGGAGUAACAGUGACACUCGGUGGCCACUCAGGGUAGUGCACAACCAAUUUCCCUCAUGGAGCAACAGUGACACUGGGUGGUUAAUCCAGGUAUUGCACAAAGCAUUCCCCUCACGGAGCAACAGUGAGACUUGGUGGCCACUCAGGGUAAUGCAGAAAGCAUUCCCCUUAUGGAGCAACAGUGACACUCCGUGGCCAUUCAGGGUAAUGCACCAACCAUUUCCCUCAUGGAGCAACAGUGACACUGGGUGGCCACGCAGGGUAAUGCACCAACAAUUUCCCUCACAGAGCAACAGUGACACCAGCUGGCCAAUCCA